UUUCCCGAGGCAACUCGGUUUGGGGGACUGCUGUGCAUCACUGCCGGCUUCCCCUGGAUUUUUGGGCCUAUGUUUUCACAUACACCAUAAGAAUGUAAUAGAAUGUUAUAUUGGGCUUUGUUGCCUAUAAACUAUAUACAACUUUCAGCAACGGAUCUCUUGGCUCUCGCAUCGAUGAAGAACGCAGCGAAAUGCGAUAAGUAAUGUGAAUUGCAGAAUUCAGUGAAUCAUCGAAUCUUUGAACGCACCUUGCGCUCCUUGGUAUUCCGAGGAGCAUGCCUGUUUGAGUGUCAUUAAAUUCUCAACCUUAUCAGCUUUUGUUGAUAAUGGCUUGGAUGUGGGGGUUUAUUUGCUGGCUUCUUAAUGAUAUCAGCUCCCCUUAAAUGCAUUAGCUGGUUGCCUUGUGCAGACUUGUCUAUUGGUGUGAUAAUUAUCUACGCCGUGGACUGACUUGCCAGUAUUAGCACCGCUUCUAACUGUCUGUUUACUCAGACAAUAUAUAU
This 503-nucleotide unclassified non-coding RNA is filed under the name Pholiota spumosa. RNAcentral's name for it is "sequence contains ITS1, 5.8S rRNA gene and ITS2". The stretch from base 140 to 293 matches the Rfam family "5.8S ribosomal RNA". The record is from RNAcentral. Lineage: Eukaryota; Fungi; Basidiomycota; Agaricomycetes; Agaricales; Strophariaceae.